Non-coding RNA from Acanthosepion pharaonis, 104 nucleotides. The record is from the annotation of a GenBank genome assembly. Lineage: Eukaryota; Metazoa; Mollusca; Cephalopoda; Sepiida; Sepiidae.
AUCAUGUUGAAACACCAGUUCCCGUACGAUCACCGAAAUUAAGCAACAUCAAGUCUGGUCAGUACCUAGAUGGGUAACCACUUGGGAAUACUACGGGGUGUAAG